UCCCAGACUCCUACGGGAGGCAGCAGUGGGGAAUAUUGCACAAUGGGGGAAACCCUGAUGCAGCGACGCCGCGUGAGUGAAGAAGUAUUUCGGUAUGUAAAGCUCUAUCAGCAGGGAAGAAAAUGACGGUACCUGAUUAAGAAGCCCCGGCAAACUUCGUGCCAGCAGCCGCGGUAAUACGAAGGGUGCGAGCGUUGUUCGGAAUUACUGGGCGUAAAGGGAGUGUAGGCGGAUAUGUAAGAUAGCGGUGAAAUGCCGGGGCUCAACCCCGGAACUGCCAUUAUGACUAUGUAUCUAGAGUAAUGGAGAGGAUAGCGGAAUACCCAGUGUAGAGGUGAAAUUCGUAGAUAUUGGGUAGAACACCGGUGGCGAAGGCGGCUAUCUGGCCAUUUACUGACGCUGAGGCUCGAAAGCAUGGGGAUCAAACAGGAUUAGAUACCCCAGUACU
This 448-nucleotide ribosomal RNA is filed under the name uncultured bacterium. RNAcentral's name for it is "bacterial SSU rRNA". It matches the Rfam family "Bacterial small subunit ribosomal RNA", at positions 329 to 794 of the family's 1533-position model. The record is from RNAcentral.